CCCUUUGGGCUUAGCCAAGACUGAAAGUCUCCACCAACCCGGCGGGGUUGGGGGCUUCUCUCCCCAAGUCACUCUCAGGGCAGCUCCUCCCCUCCUCACCCCACUACGGGCCUAGAAGGGAUGGGGAGAGGAGCCCCCAGGCCUGCAGCAGGGUAGGGGUGGUAAACUCGCUGUUACAGGGCGCGGGAGAGAGCACGGUUUACUGGGUCUGGUAAGGAGGUGCCCAGGAAUUGGAAAAUCCCUGCCCUGGCAACUGCAAUUGCUUGGGUCCUGAUAGUCCCAGGCCCAGAGCGCUUUUGAUACUUAUGGCCCUUGUACCUCCCUGCUUUCCUCUGCCCAGACCCCGUGGGGUCCCACCCACCUUCCUGUUCGUGGUGGGUGCUGGUACGCGGCAGGGCUAGUCUAGAGCUCCGACCUGGGAGCCUGGAGGCCCAGCGAAACCAGGCCCGGUUUGAGGUUACGGUUGAGGCACACGGCGUCGGGGCUCAACUGAACUCAAAGUGUGGAAAGGCCCGGGUCUUCCAGCAGCCUGCCCUGGCCGAACCACACAGGCUUAAGGAGGGUCCCCAGCACCUUAUCCAUCUGUUUUGGAAACGCCGGUCGCCCCCUGGUGCUUCCGGGGCUGGUCACAGCGGAGUGAAUCAGCUCGGUGGUGUCUUUGUCAACGGGCGGCCACUGCCGGACUCCACCCGGCAGAAGAUUGUAGAGCUAGCUCACAGCGGGGCCCGGCCGUGCGACAUUUCCCGAAUUCUGCAGACCCAUGCAGAUGCAAAAGUCCAAGUGCUGGACAAUCAAAACGUGUCCAACGGAUGUGUGAGUAAAAUUCUGGGCAGGUAUUACGAGACUG
This 847-nucleotide long non-coding RNA is filed under the name Homo sapiens (human). RNAcentral describes it as "non-protein coding lnc-IMMP1L-6:1". The record is from RNAcentral. Lineage: Eukaryota; Metazoa; Chordata; Mammalia; Primates; Hominidae.